Numida meleagris (helmeted guineafowl) is the source of this 1674-nucleotide long non-coding RNA. The record is from Ensembl. Lineage: Eukaryota; Metazoa; Chordata; Aves; Galliformes; Numididae.
UGGAUUUAUGGAUUAGGUAUGGGUGCACUAUUCAUUGGAUGUGGAACUGGUUCAAGAUUGUACCCAGAGAGUCACAGAUACAGCAUUAUCAAAGACUAAGUUGAUUUUCACAGGUAUUUAGGGUCACAAUGGGCAGGGAUGUUGGUAACUAAGCUAAUUUUUGAUGUGCCUUUUGACAUGGAAUUGUUUAAAAAAAAAAAAAACCCUCACCUUUCUGAUGUUGACAAGGCUUAUUUAUGUAGAUUUCAGGUUUGCAAAGGUAUGCAAAAACAGGAACUACUCAGCUGUGAACUAAAGUCAGAUGUAAACCAGUGACCUGUCAUAAAUCUUUUAACAAAAUUAAUUAAUUCUAAGACCUUUGACUUAGGAAGCUCCAACUACUCAGUUGAUCGUGUUACGCCUAGAAAAGUUCCUGGCUUUGAAAGAAGGAAAUAUAGUUGAUCUAUUUUGAAAUUCACACAGAAUAAAGCCUGUAGUGAACUUAAAAGCAACAUAAAGAUCAUACUGUGAUUUUCAGCUUUAUUAAUGUAAGUUUAUAUUUUUCACAGAUCUGAAAAGUAUGAUCCUGCCUAUCUAUGUGCAUGUAUCUUGUCCAUGGAGUAUUCUAUCUAAAUACAUUCUGUGUGAAAUUUGAUAUUUAUUAUUCAGUGGAAAGGAAGUUUCAAGCCCUGUGUGACAGAAAACAAGUUAUGUUCUUUUUUCAGAGUCAUCCUAUUAAUUCCUGAUGUGGUAAAACCAGAAUUUCAAGAUGUCUUCAUCUAAGAGCUUCCUGUCCUUUGACUGGUGCCAGGGUAGCUGUUGUGCCUGGGUUACCAGAGGGAGAAUGAGCUGCUAAAAUAUUUCAGCAACGAUAUUUGAACAAUUUCUUAUUUUUUUAAUUCUUUUUUUGAGGAAAAUGGUUGGCUUUUUGGGCUCUGAAAUGUCACUUGAAGCACGACUAGAUGUGCUACAAAACUGCUUCAUAAAACAGGAAUACUCAGAAGUAUCAAAUGCUGCAGAUGUCCAGCAAUACUUAUGCUAAUGUUCACUAUAAAACCUUUCCUGGAAAGGACUUUCCACUUGUCUGGAGCUUACUGACUUCGAUGUAUCUGGAUUGUUCUUUUCUACUUACCAGUUCAUCAGCAAGGAAAAAAACCACUACAUUCCAAAUUUACGUUAAAGUUAAGAACUGGCUACGUAAAUUUGCAAGGCACUGAACUUCUCAGUUUUCUUGGAGACCAGAAUCAUACUUCCACAUCUGGAAAUUGGGCAGAAAGUAGGUAUUUUACUAACAACAAACAAAUUAGGAUGGGAAGUCAAUAUGAGGUUUUCAGUAAAUAUUUCAGAGCAUCUGAAAUGUUUGAAAUAUCUGAAGCCUCACAGAACAGGAAUUGCUUACCUCUUGAAGUGACGGAUAUUUGAAUCAGUGAGCUGAUCACUUGAUAAAAGAACUGCAGCUCAAAUUACAUCUAGGGAGGGAUAUACACCCAGAUAACCUUUGCCAGCUGACACAUCUCAGUAUGGAUUCAGGACUUACUUUCUGUGAUUCCACUCCCAGCUUUCACUGAACUCUGCCAUGCUACUGUGGCUUUUAACAUCUAACCCGCUAUAUCAGUCCUUGCUGAAGGCCAUCUGUCAGCCAGUGGGCAUAAAAGAUCUAAACCUUCUUGCUACAAAAGAAUCUUGAUUUUUUUU